GGGGACGUGCGCAGCGGGUGUCCCUUCGGAGCCCUUCUCCAGCAUCGAGAAAGUCGGAGCCCUCGAAAAGAGAAGUUGCCUCCGUCUCUUCUCAAAGAGCAAAAUCAGCAACAAGAAAACUGCGAACCCGUUCCUUUCUGACAGAUCCUCGCUGCGCUGUUACUUCUGUUUCCCCACAAGUAACGAGAGCCGCGCUAAAGGAGGCGAAGUGAGCGCACUUGGCCGGUUGAGCACGGAGCAGACUAACACACGCGUUUGUAGCCGUUUACGGAGCGGUGACACAACGGGGGAGACUUCAGCCAACACCACCGCAGAUUCGUUCCCCCCUACAGACCCGCCUGAAGCUGUCACCGCUCCGCUCGGGCGCAGCUCGCGCGGCUCAGGGCUGUGCUCGGCUCCAGGGGUACAGCUGCCCGCGGCCGCUCCUCGUCUGCCUUCCGAGCCGCCACUUCUACCCCGCCGUUAACUUUUCGGGCACACGGCGCGAUCUUACCGGAGCUCCUCAACACGCCUGCUGGCAGCACCGCUCCGCACAGCACAGCACCGCACCGCACCGCACCGACCUCCCUCCGCCGCGCUCUGCGCCGCGCCCCUUCCUCCUCCUCCUUCCCCUCCUCCUCUUUCUCCUCCUCCUGCCUCUUCCCCAAACUCCACGGCCGCUGCCGCCGCUGCUCCGCUCCUCGUGGAAAGUUGGGGCCGGGCCGGGCCGGGCUCGGGCCGCCCGCAGCGCUCACACCGCAGUGGGGCUGGGAUGGGUGGUGCCGCGGCUCCUCGAGGACAUGGAGUCAUGUCGGUGUAACAGGACAGAAGUAUUCGUCAGCUCCUCCCAGUUUUUCAUUAUAAUUUUAUUAAACAACUCGUAACGCAGAAAAGAUGUCAAACAACAUGAGCACACAUCAAACUGGCUUUUGGGGCUGUUGCUUUUGAAGCUACCUGGCUUUGUUCAUCUUCCACCCACGCUUUUUCCAUUCAGUACCAGAAAUGGCACACGUAGUAGAUGCUAGUAAGAGAACAAGGACUGUCAUGAGAGUGGUGAUGGCCUCUAUUUAAAAAGAGUGCUCAGACAGUAUUUGAUAUUUCAAGAGGAUAGGUAUUGCAAGAUGAUUUGAUCAGCCAAAAUAAAUAUCUCUUCAAAAGCAGAAACAACUUGUCUCUAGCAACAGCAGCUGGCCAUUUACCUUGCACUUAUUCCUGAGCUACACUAUGCCAUACCAACAAUAUACCUUUCUCUGUUACCAAGGUUUUCCAGUUGUGCCACUUACAUCAAUCACCAAAUGCAUGCUAAAUUCAGUAAGCUGACACUAGUAGGUCCUAGUGGUGAAAGAUCAGUGUGUCUUGUAGGUACUAGACAUUUCAACUCUAUUUCUCCUACUCAAUGAGGAUUUGUCUGCCAUGUCCUGACUUCAAGGAGCUCACCAUGCAACGCGGAGAAGUAACACAUUACUAUUAAAAGUAAGAACUCUAUGUUCAGAAUUGCAAAUAAACAAUCUUGCACUUGAGAUGUGUUGUUCCAUUCCUGUGACGUUCACAGUUAAACUUCUGACUUCCAUAGGAUAUCUUUCCAUGUUUUACAUUCUCAGUAUUUCUUCUGCAUACUCAUGCCGUAACACAAUGGAAAAUGGAACAAAAAAAGCACAACGGAGCUAUAAUCCAAUGUCCAACAUAUAUUUAAGUACCUUAGACUGCGGCAAGUGAAGGUGGGCAGGCUGAAUACAUGACAUCUCGGAGAAGUUGUGUUACGAUGCUCCAUGCACAAACCCUUUAUCUCUUACAAAAGACUAGUCAGUCACACCAGAAGAAGCCUCUUACAUACUCAACUGGAAAUAAUGUUUCAAAGAGUAUAAAUAGGAAUAUUUGAAUGGGAAGUCACAAUGCAGUUCUAAGGGUAACACUCUCAGGGAAAGAAAAAUCUUAAAAGUAAGACUGGGAAUAUUUUGAUAAAAUAAACUGGCAGAAACUGGGCUGAAAAAAAUAGCAGUACCGUGUAUAGAAUGACAUGACAGGCAUGACUUUAACCUGUUAUGCUUUGUGGAAAAGAAGCCUUUUCAUCCUGAAAUGCCCGCAGAUUGUAGGUAAGUACAGAAAAAAAUUCUUUGCAAUGUCUGAAGUUAUUUUAAAAUCCUUUUUGAGAGAUCAUAAUUGGAGACAUUCACUUUUUACUUUUGGAAAUGGUCCUUCCAGUACUCUUGCUGCAACAUUCUCUCUCACACACGCACACAAAAAAUAAAAAUCUAAAAAAGUAUCUGAAAGUGUAAUAAAGUUAUGACCAUGUCAACCUAUUGAUUUUUUUUCCCCCUUGCAGUUGAUGGUUUUCUUUGCUGAUUCCUUUGGGUAACACUAUGUCAUAUCCAUUGGAUUAAGAUUUUGUAAAUAAAAUACAAGCAUUAUAUCAUAAGUACAACCUUACUGGAGCGCAUAAUUAAAACCCAAAAAACUCCCAAAUCUCUAAUUUUCAUUAACUUUAGGUAAUAGUCAACAGCAAAAUCACAGUAACAUAUACGCCUAAAUGUUCUCCUUUGUACUGACUUCGGUCUUCAGUAACAGAGUUUCCAUAUCCACCUGCAAUAUUUUUUUGUUCACUAGGGAUUGAUCCGUUUUUGAUUGUUUAUUCCUUGUGUUCUUAAUCCAUAUUCUGAAACAGGUGACUAACAUGCUUCCUCUUUCCAUUUUUCUUUCUCAAUUCUUCUUCCCUUUUCUCUCUUUGCUAAUAAUUAAACAUUUUAAUAUGCACUCUGAAGUUUCCAUUCUCCCUUUUUCUGUUAACUCUCUUCCCCUUAUGAAAGUCGCCUUUAUAAGACUGGCAGCUUAGAGGCUUUUAACAGUACAGAAGUUCUUCCAUGUUGCUAUCCAAAAGUCAUCAGUAUGUCUUAGGUGCAGAAAAAAAAUUAGGUGGAUGAUUUGCAUGUAGGCCGGAUCUUCUCUGUUUUACUACUUUUGUUGUCUUGUCAGGUGCUCUUGGUCUUCUUCCACCUUUGUAAGCUGGAAGAUAAAGUGUCAAUCAGUAUCAACAUCAGAAUGUGCCUUUUUUUUUUUUUUCCUCUCUGUAAGCCUGGGUGCUCUUUUCAUACUGCCUGCCAAUAGCUUUUACAUCUGUGUUGGCAUACAUUUCAGCCUUAUAGCUUUGAAACUAUUCUGAAACAGUUUCAACUUUUACCUUCAUUUUCUUACAGUUUUACAAGACAUUGCUUCUGUGGUAGGUAAGAACCUGAAAAUGCUAUUUAAGGAAAAUUCCCAUUAGAGCCUCAAAAUCAUAAAUGUCAGGCCAGAAUUUCCAGCUGCAUAAAGGUUAGUCACAAAAGAUUGCUACUUCUGAGCAGUCAUCACAUUCUGAUCAUUACAAAAGAAGAGCCGGUUUUAAAAAUGCCUAUCCCAACUUUUUUCCCAAUAAGAUAGUGCUAGAAUCACACAGAUACUGUAAAUCGCUUUUUAACUAUUAUACUGUUUAAAAUUAUCUGUAGAAGGAAUUUAAACGUUCUUGCAUUUCAGCUACCAGCAUAACUGAGUCAACUUACAGGCACUAAUCAAUCUAGUGUCAAUAUUUUGAUAACACAGGUGAAGAUUAUUACUACAAGUGAGAGAAAGCCUAACCGAUAUGUGACAUCAAUAGUGAAGUCACAGAAGAUGUGAUUCAUCCGGCUCGAAUAGAUCUGUUAGAUGCAGUCAGUUUAGAUGUGGCCAACAGGUGCAUUAGCAAAGAGAAGAUCUAAGGACAACACACUUAAAGACAACAGCAUUUAAUCUAGAAUUCCACCCUGAGUAUUUGAAACAAAAACAAUCUUAAGAGGUUUCAAGUUUCUUGGGCCUCAUCUGCGUUCCACUCAAGAACUCAGAACAGAGCACACCAGCUGUAAACCAGGAAUCCCAACAGGCAUUGGCCCUUCACAUCAAGUCUCUCUGCACUUCUUGAUUCACUUCACAUGUUGAAUAUCUUCAUUCUGACAUUUUUCCUCCUCUGUACACCGAAGUCCAAGGCUUCUGCACUCUAAUGAAUAAGGAGUGAUCCUUUUCUAACAAUGAGACAUGUCAUCUAAGUCAGAUAUCUGAAACAAGACUGACAAAAGCAAUGUCAUAAAGCAGGAAAACAAAAAGAAAAACAAAAAACAAACAACAAAAAACAAAGAAACAGAAGAAACAACAACAGGUAUCUAGAUUCACUCUUCUUUGAAUGUAUUUCAUAACAGAGACCUUACUUGAUACACUCUACUUCUACAUGGAAAAAGUACUCAUAGGCAUGAUGAGAGAGUAUUAAUUCAUGCUUUUUACUCGGAAGCAUCAGAUUCAAGGUUUAUGCUGAAAUCUCUUUAUUUUUAUGCUGCAUGUGACAGGAAGUAUUGUUCCUACAACACAGACUGGGAGACCUUAUACUUCCUGGAGAGAUACAGUUACUAUCAAAUCUGUUUCUAAGUGUUUAAAAAAUUUAUUAAUAAUACUUUAUAGCUUUCCUGCCAACACUGCCUAGAUAAGUGGCAUAAAGACAAUCUGUCAUUCUCCAUUAAAACUUUUGCCCAGGUCAUAACCUUAUACAGUAACUUUUUUUUCCUGUCUGCUACAUACAUUACAUACAUGCAUGCUAGCCAGUAACAAAUAUCCUACAUGACAUGAUACCAUACAAACUGCUACUCAUCAAAGUCCUUGCACCAGUUUAUUAAGAUAUUCUGUUUUUUAUUUACCAACGUGAUAAACUCAAACCCUCACAUCUAUUACAGAAAUAGAAUGCUAAAAUAUAGAAAUAAAACAUUACCUAUGAGGAUAAAGAGAGAACAAUCUAAGUAUCAGCAGAUUUUACUGACUUUACUGCAGCUGUAAUUUAAUUUUUCCCAAAAAGUUGAGAGGUAUGAUUGACGUACAUGCCAAUAUCAAAAAGUAUACAGCUUCCCAUAAGAGAAUAUGUCUUCAAGACUGAACUUAUUUAAAAAGAAAAAAAGAAAGAAAAAAAAGAAAGGAAAAAGAAAAGAAAGAAAAAAGGGAAAGAAAUAUGUUGUAAAUGAAAUGAUGUUUUAAAACAUUACGCUCAAUUCCUUUUUUCUAACAAAUAUUUUUACAUAGCUGUCCAAUGGACUUUCAAUUUCUGCAUUAAGUCAAUGAUUCCGUUUAAAUAUUAAAUUACUGAGAUCUCCCACAACAAAUGCAUACAGUAGUAUCCUUCAUUAAGAGUAUGAUUACUCUGAAAGGAUUUGGAGGAAACUACUUCUUGUUCUAACAAACAUUGCAGGUUCCCACCACCAGUUUCUCUCCUUUCCAAUUUAUUAUUUUGAUUUAUUACUUUCCACUUGAUCAGCCAAUAAUUCCCUUGCGUAAUCAUUUGGAAGAUAAAUACAGAAUUACUUUACAUGAUUGUAAGCUUUCUAUAAAACCUGAGUUUAAUGUGACAAGUUAUUAAGCAGCCGCCCCAGGGCCAACCUUGUGUAAUUAAAAAGUAGCACUUCAAAAUUCUCACAAUUUACAGCACAUUGCUGCAGAUUAGAAGAAACAGAAGACAAAGUAUAAAUCCAUUUACAGUUCAGGUCAAGACAGUUAUUCGGUAGAAAUCCUAUAGCCCAUGGUUUUCAUUCACUAGCAAAAUCUACAGGAGUAGAUUUUUAGCUCAGUGCAUUUUUAAGCGUAGUCUCAGAACAGUAUUUAGAGGCUUCCCCUAAACUAUUUUUGUGUGGUGAUUUAAACACUGAGCUUUUUUCUGUAGGAGAUUUGUUCCAACUUUGUUAAAAUUCAGUGCUGGAGGAAAAAAAAAAAGAAGUGAUAUAAUCAGAAUGCUCAUCAAGUUAAGGUAUUUAGGUAGACUCCUAAGUGCUUUAAUGUGACACUUAUUAGACUGUGGAGUCAAAAAAAAGUCUCUUUUUCCUGUUCAAAAGCAACACAGCAAGCCUUCCUCUUGCUGUUAAUUACACUGCCUUUCUUUUAUCACUUUUCUAAGUAAGACAGGAAAAGACAGGUACAUACUAAGAAGGUUAUCUACAACAGCUCUGUUUUUCUCAGUCUCCACAUGACCACCAAAGCAGAUGAAAAGCAACUGCAUGCAGCUGAAAGGCCAGAUAUCAAAGCAUUUCUUUUACAGCUUUAAAGUAAAAAGGCCAGACAGCCACUGCUUAAAGCUCUUUGGAGUCAGUUUACUUUUAGUGAGGUUUCUUAAGAGAAUAAGAUUCCUGUACACAGGAAAUACAAAUCACCAUCGGCAUGGUCAAGCAGUGAAACAGCUUGUAAAGAGAUGCUGUGCAAUGCACAUCCGUGAAAAUACUCAGAAACUGACUGAACGAGGGCUGAAGCAACAUUAUCUAACUUGUAAAUUAGUCCUACUUAGACCAAGAGGCAGGACUGGAGACCUCCAGAAAUUCUAUCUGACCUACAUUAACCUACGGUUAUGAGUCACCCAGUUACCUUUGAAGUAAUAUGCCAGUUUCAGAAGAAAAAUAAACUCAGUUGUAAGAAAUCACAGACAUUAAAUUCUUAGAACUGGCUUCUAUGACAUUACAUCCUUUAGAAUUAUUUUCUUAUUUUUUCAUUCCUGGUCAACUCAAAAGUGAAUUUUGUUCCGUUCUCAUUAUCCGCUCAGCUCAAUACACAGUCAUACAACCUUUUACCUUGCUGAUAGUCACAUAAGAGCAGAAAGAGGAUUUUGGAAAGGAAGAGUAUGCAGAUGAAGCAAGCCUAUACUUCAGUCAGGGCAUACAAAGUUACUGGAAAAUGCAGCUUUCCAAGUUUUGCUGACAUAAGUAUUUGCUUCUUUGUAAAGUAUGCAAUUAUCCAAAGCAAAUCUCUAGACCUUGAAAGUACUGGGAAAUAUUUUUAAACGUUUUGUCUAUAAGUUACAAAGGAGAGAACACAGAACGCAUUCAAACAUAAUAAAAAUAAAUUUUUAUAAUAAUUGAGCCAGAACUCAAAUAAUAGCCUCGCCAUGAAAUAAAUCUGAGAUGGAAAAUUAUUCUGGGUAGAAGUAUUUGUUUGCAAUCUCACUGCUUCCAAAAUAUAAAAUAUAAAGACUACGUAGUAUAUGUCCCUGUCUUCUACAGGACUGUGAAUAAGGACACUGUCUAGUUAAUGAACAUUUUACUACAGGAUAUAUAUAUUCACAUAUAUUUCUACAUUCCUCAAGUUCUUCUCUUCUUCCUUAUAACUCUUACUAAUGGUGAUGUGCCAGUAGUGCCCAAUCCAAAAUUCAGAUAUGCAGAAUCAAGCUCCUUAAAGUCGUGACAUUUGUUUAAAAAAAAAUUAAACAUUGUGUGCUCAGUUCUCAUCCUGAUUUUUUAAUUACUAAAUAAUAUUCAUCAUCUUUUCCAUCUUUCUUCAAAAAAAUACGAAGAUAAUAAUACCAAAUCAGUGACAGUAGUUUCUGACAUAAUUGUUUAAGCCUGGGCAGAAUCUGGAGCUCUGAAUUAGAACUCUGAGGAUUCCACAGUUUAAGGUCUAAAGGAAAAUUCUUGCUAACAUGCACACGCACUAUUUACUUGUACUCCGAUGUUAUAUCUGCAUGGUAUUGAAACACUUAGUUUUGGUCUCGUUCUAUGGAGCACUUCACUUGGAUUUAAAUAUUCUCCUGCACCAUCAGCAACCUCGGUACCAGAACUCUGUACUGCACAAGAAUGACAAAAUAAGAUCAACUAGCAAGAAAACUGCUAGAAUUAUUCUAUCGUUUCCCAGGGCUAGUGAAGCCAAAAACAAAUACUAGUUGAAAGUCAACUUAAAUCACUUGAGCUUUGUAUUUAGAAUUUAUUCAGCAUGAAGUAAAGAAGCAAUGGCAUUGUGUAUCUGCAUUUGUUUCCUAAGAAACACUCAGGGGCAAACAAUACAGCAAAUACAUCCUUGGGCUAUGUGGGUUCUGAACGCACUUCCAAAGCUUCAUUUAAAAGACUCAAUUAAACACACGAGACAAGUUUUUGAAGGAUUUUCCUUCCUAACUGAGAGUUAUUUUUCCAUAAUUUGCUUUCAGAAAUAUUUUUGGUCAGAAAUCCAAAGUUUCUCCUCAAGUGCAUUCAAAAGCAAAUGCAAAAGUUUUGGGUUCUAUAAGCAAGAAAUGUGGAAACUGUUGGUUAAUUUUUUUUAAAGGUACAUUGUGCACACUAAGCAGUUCUUCCUUUAUGGACAAGAAUAACUGUAUCAGAUACAAAGAAAUCUACAUUUGAAAAAAUAUUUCUAUGAAUUUCAAACUUACUUAUUUUUACUGUAUUAAAAAUUUUUAUUUUGCAUAAUCCCUACCUAUCUGUCAGAGGUUAUCUUUGUCUACAAAGUGAACCUCUUGCUGUAAGUUUCCAGAUAGGACUGGUCAGUCAAAUAACAGGGUGACAACAAUCACACAUGCUGUUACAGUUAAGUUAGCUGGUAAGCAGAACUACGAAUAAGUUGAGAAAACAUGAAAGUGGCUCGAUGGUCAUUUGUUCAGCAGAGAUACACAACGCCUAUAAGACGUAACACAUAACUUUUCAAUUAAAAUCACAGGGAGUUCAGUCUGCUGGGGGGUUUGUUUUAUUGGGUGUUUUUGGUUUAUUUGGAUUUGUGUGUGUGUGUGAUUCUAAAAAUUGCAGUUAAGACAUUCAAUUUGACUGCUCACUGUUAACAUCCACACACAAACGUACAAAAAAGUAGGCUAACAACGUAUUUUUUGCUGAAGAUUCUCAGCUCCAGGGUUAACUGCAUCUUUUGCACUGCAGCUGAAGGCCUUGCAGAUGCUUACACAAUGGCUGUACAACAUGAAUACAAGUUCAGUUCAUAGUGUCUGGCGCAAAUUUAGACACUUCACCUUCCAUACACUUGUUAC
Long non-coding RNA from Gallus gallus (chicken), 8746 nucleotides. RefSeq lists it as uncharacterized. The transcript has 5 exons. The record is from RefSeq and is a predicted model, not a curated record. NCBI's taxonomy places the organism in Eukaryota, Metazoa, Chordata, Aves, Galliformes, Phasianidae.